GAUGAACGCUAGCGGCAGGCCUAAUACAUGCAAGUCGAACGGUAUUCAGAUGCUUGCAUUUGAAGAGAGUGGCGCACGGGUGCGUAACGCGUAUGAAACCUACCUUUAACAGGGGGAUAGCCUCUCGAAAGAGAGAUUAAUACCGCAUAAUAUCGGGAGUGGGUAUCCACAUUCGAUUAAAUAUUUAUAGGUUAAAGAUGGUCAUGCGUGACAUUAGCUAGUUGGAGAGGUAAUGGCUCACCAAGGCGACGAUGUCUAGGGGAUCUGAGAGGAUGGCCCCCCACACUGGUACUGAGACACGGACCAGACUCCUACGGGAGGCAGCAGUAAGGAAUAUUGGUCAAUGGACGGAAGUCUGAACCAGCCAUGCCGCGUGCAAGAAGAAGGCCCUACGGGUUGUAAAUUGCUUUUAAUCGAGAAUAACAGUAACUACGUGUAGUUG
RNAcentral lists this ribosomal RNA (442 nucleotides) under uncultured bacterium. RNAcentral's name for it is "bacterial SSU rRNA". It matches the Rfam family "Bacterial small subunit ribosomal RNA", at positions 28 to 467 of the family's 1533-position model. The record is from RNAcentral.